This 1019-nucleotide long non-coding RNA is filed under the name Trifolium pratense (red clover). RNAcentral's name for it is "long non-coding RNA (TPRA_LNC014370)". Lineage: Eukaryota; Viridiplantae; Streptophyta; Magnoliopsida; Fabales; Fabaceae. The record is from RNAcentral.
AUGUUAAAAAACAAGCAAACAUAUGUUUUAAAACAUCUAAAUAAUAAUGAAAUCACGUAAAAUAAAGUCAGAUUACUGGUACCAAUACUUUCACUGAUUAAACUUUCAUUUACACCAUAAAAUUAGUCAUACAUUCAAGAACCAAUAUCACCUUUCUUGUUAUCAUUUCCAUUCCUUCUUCUUUUUGACCUUUGAAUAGAAGAACUUGAUAUGUCUACACCGAAUUCAGAUCCUCUCAUAUUGAUCCUUUCCUGCUGUCUCGUUAUGCAUUAAUUGCAGCCAUUAGAUCUCUCAUGUUGUUUCUUUCUUCUGACUAGUUUUUUUUCUUUACAAUCUCAGGCGUUGAAUUAAAAACACGAAAGAUAGGAGAACACACUGGCGUAGCAGAUGAUCCAACUCGGUCUAUACCUUGCCCAGCUAACUCCUCAACAUCACACCAAUCAUGGUCUUCAUUAGUUGCUUUAGUUUCUUUUUAUGGGUCUCCAGAUGGUCCAUUUACCAUGACCAGAGGCUAUAGUAUUCUUAAAAAGAUCUCCAAUUCAAGUAAAUUUCUAAUACAUUGUCUUUGAACUUUGCAACUUCAGGGAUAUUCCUGAAAUAAAAUCUAUUUGAUUUACUAAAUAUUUUAACCAUCAAACUGAAAAAUAAAUGAAAAUAUAAUUUUACCCUCAUUAUCGUUGGAAGCCAUCUCAAGGGCUAUUAUAGCACAAUACAAAAAAAAAAAAAAAGUUUCUCACACAAACAAGAAUCAUAAUUUUUUUUCUUCCGUAAAUCUGAUAUCCUCUGUGCGCAACUGUAGAGACCAAUCCCUCAAGCCUUUGUGGAACUCAAAUGAGCGGCAAACUCUCCCUAAGUGUUUUAACGUUGCUGCAUGCCCAAACUAGAGACAAGAAUCAUAAAUUUAAAAACAUAUCACAUGAAAAUAAAGUGAAUUCUUAUUUGUACUAACAACUCUUUUGGUGUAACUUGAACCAAUUGUGGCUUUGAUAUAAUAUAUAAAUAAAUGGUUAGAAUUUAUU